GAUGAACGCUGGCGGCGUGCCUAAUACAUGCAAGUCGAGCGAACGGACGAGAAGCUUGCUUCUCUGAUGUUAGCGGCGGACGGGCGAGUAACACGUGGAUAACCUACCUAUAAGACUGGGAUAACUUCGGGAAACCGGAGCUAAUACCGGAUAAUAUUUUGAACCGCAUGGUUCAAAAGUGAAAGACGGUCUUGCUGUCACUUAUAGAUGGAUCCGCGCUGCAUUAGCUAGUUGGUAAGGUAACGGCUUACCAAGGCAACGAUGCAUAGCCGACCUGAGAGGGUGAUCGGCCACACUGGAACUGAGACACGGUCCAGACUCCUACGGGAGGCAGCAGUAGGGAAUCUUCCGCAAUGAGCGAAAGCCUGACGGAGCAACGCCGCGUGAGUGAUGGAGGUCUUCGGAUCGUAAAACUCUGUUAUUAGGGAAGAACAUAUGUGUAAGUAACUGUGCACAUCUUGACGGUACCUAAUCAGAAAGCCACGGCUAACUACGUG
Molecule: ribosomal RNA, 497 nt
Filed under: uncultured bacterium
Lineage: Bacteria
Description: partial 16S ribosomal RNA
Rfam family: Bacterial small subunit ribosomal RNA
Source: RNAcentral